CAAUACAAAUCCACCAUGAAGACCUUUCUCAUCCUUGCCCUCCUUGCUAUCGUGGCGACCACCACCACAACUGCAGUUAGAGUUCCAGUGCCAUAAUUGCAGCCACAAAAUCCAUCUCAGCAACAACCACAAGAGCAAGUUCCAUUGGUGCAACAACAACAAUUUCUAGGGCAGCAACAACAACAAUUUCCAGGGCAACAACAACCAUUUCCACCACAACAGCCAUAUCCGCAGCCGCAACCAUUUCUGCCACAACUACCAUAUCCGCAGCCGCAACCAUUUCCACCACAACAAUCAUAUCCACAACCACAACCACAAUAUCCGCAACCACAACAACCAAUUUCGCAGCAACAAGCACAACUACAACAACAACAACAACAACAACAACAACAACAACAACAACAACAACAACAACAACAACAACAACAACAACAACAACAACAACAACAACAACAACCGUCGAGCCAGGUCUCCUACCAGCAGCCUCAGCAACAAUAUCCAUCAGGCCAGGGCUCGUUCCAGCCAUCUCAGCAAAACCCACAGGCCCAGGGCUUUGUCCAACCUCAGCAACUGCCGCAGUUCGAGGAAAUAAGGAACCUAGCGCUACAGACGCUACCAGCAAUGUGCAAUGUCUACAUCCCUCCAUAUUGCUCGACCACCAUUGCGCCAUUUGGCAUCAUGAGUACUAACUGAGAAGAGAAGAACUCUAUUACUAGAUAUAUGAAACACCGUUUUCUUAAAACAUGGUUUGGUCGUUGUAGCGGUGAAAAAUAAAGUGACAUGCACUAUCAUGUAAGAACCCGAACUAGACUAUUUCAAACUUGGAAAUAAAAGACAAACACAGGUCUUGUCUGCA
This is an RNA transcript of Triticum aestivum (bread wheat), 856 nucleotides long. It is a transcript of the gene named alpha/beta-gliadin A-III-like, with no coding region annotated. The transcript has 2 exons. Lineage: Eukaryota; Viridiplantae; Streptophyta; Magnoliopsida; Poales; Poaceae. The record is from RefSeq and is a predicted model, not a curated record.